This 371-nucleotide ribosomal RNA is filed under the name uncultured organism. RNAcentral's name for it is "bacterial SSU rRNA". It matches the Rfam family "Bacterial small subunit ribosomal RNA", at positions 526 to 896 of the family's 1533-position model. The record is from RNAcentral.
CAGAGGUGGCAAGCGUUGUUCGGAAUUACUGGGCGUAAAGGGCGCGUAGGCGGCCUUCUAAGUCAGACGUGAAAUCCCCAGGCUUAACUUGGGAACUGCGUCUGAUACUGGGAGGCUUGAAUGCGGGAGAGGGAUGUGGAAUUCCAGGUGUAGCGGUGAAAUGCGUAGAUAUCUGGAGGAACACCGGUGGCGAAGGCGGCAUCCUGGACCGACAUUGACGCUGAGGCGCGAAAGCCAGGGGAGCAAACGGGAUUAGAUACCCCGGUAGUCCUGGCCCUAAACGAUGAGUGCUUGGUGUGGCGGGUAUCGAUCCCUGCCGUGCCGAAGCUAACGCAUUAAGCACUCCGCCUGGGAGUACGGUCGCAAGGCUG